Molecule: ribosomal RNA, 224 nt
Filed under: Brevundimonas sp.
Lineage: Bacteria; Pseudomonadati; Pseudomonadota; Alphaproteobacteria; Caulobacterales; Caulobacteraceae
Description: partial 23S ribosomal RNA
Rfam family: Bacterial large subunit ribosomal RNA
Source: RNAcentral
GGACCGGGAAGGACGCACCUCUGGUGAACCGGUUGUCGCGCCAGCGGCACGGCCGGGUGGCCAAGUGCGGAAUGGAUAACCGCUGAAGGCAUCUAAGCGGGAAACCAGCCUCGAAACGAGGUCUCGCCGAGGGCCGUGGAAGACCACCACGUUGAUAGGCCGCAGGUGCAAGGGGGGUAACCUCCUCAGCCGAGCGGUCCUAAUCGCCCGAUAGAGCUCCUGAA